AUCUAAAUAGUUUAAUAAAAAUAUUGAUUUGUGGAGUCAAAGUUAUAUCUUUAUAUUUUAGAUU
RNAcentral lists this transfer RNA (64 nucleotides) under Apteropeda orbiculata. Its description in RNAcentral is "tRNA-His". The record is from RNAcentral. Lineage: Eukaryota; Metazoa; Arthropoda; Insecta; Coleoptera; Chrysomelidae.